UAGGGAAUCUUCGGCAAUGGACGAAAGUCUGACCGAGCAACGCCGCGUGAGUGAAGAAGGUUUUUGGAUCGUAAAACUCUGUUGUUAGAGAAGAACAAGGACGUUAGUAACUGAACGUCCCCUGACGGUAUCUAACCAGAAAGCCACGGCUAACUACGUGCCAGCAGCCGCGGUAAUACGUAGGUGGCAAGCGUUGUCCGGAUUUAUUGGGCGUAAAGCGAGCGCAGGCGGUUUCUUAAGUCUGAUGUGAAAGCCCCCGGCUCAACCGGGGAGGGUCAUUGGAAACUGAGAGACUUGAGUGCAGAAGAGGAGAGUGGAAUUCCAUGUGUAGCGGUGAAAUGCGUAGAUAUAUGGAGGAACACCAGUGGCGAAGGCGGCUGUCUGGUCUGUAACUGACGCUGAGGCUCGAAAGCGUGGGGAGCAAACAGG
This 429-nucleotide ribosomal RNA is filed under the name Gemmatimonadota bacterium. RNAcentral's name for it is "Gemmatimonadetes bacterium partial 16S ribosomal RNA". It matches the Rfam family "Bacterial small subunit ribosomal RNA", at positions 355 to 776 of the family's 1533-position model. The record is from RNAcentral. Lineage: Bacteria; Pseudomonadati; Gemmatimonadota.